RNAcentral lists this long non-coding RNA (205 nucleotides) under Elaeis guineensis (African oil palm). Its description in RNAcentral is "long non-coding RNA (EGUI_LNC041030)". Lineage: Eukaryota; Viridiplantae; Streptophyta; Magnoliopsida; Arecales; Arecaceae. The record is from RNAcentral.
AGGCUAUAAAAAAUAUAUUUUAGGGUAUUUUGGCUCCAUUUUCUCUUCGAUUUUUGCUUGAAAAAUAAGAAAAAAUAUGUAUUAAAUUUUUCAAAAAUUUUUUAUUAUUUUGAUCCUUAAAUUGCUCAAUUAAAUCAACAUCUAUUUUCUAUAAAUAUGCUCUAAUUUUAUAUUUUUUAAAAUUAUUUAUUUUUACAAAAAAAUC